CAGAGGUCAUGAGGCAAGCUGCAGAGGAUGCACAGGACUUGCGAUACAGGAUCCCUGUGACACAGAACAAAAGUUUAUUUAGCCUGAUAUGAACAAACAUGCUUUCUACUGGAGGAAAUCAGCCCCAAACGAAGAACAAGCUCAUGGGAGAAUUUGGAGUCUACAGAGCAAUACUCACCAACACAAAGAUUAUAAAUAUUCUCUCUUUGACUUGCCUUGUAAGAAGCCCUCUAGAGACUGUUCUGCACUUUUUAAAAUUGAAUGCGUGUAAUAUGUACAUUAAAUAUGUAUUUUAAAUUUUA
This is a non-coding RNA of Podarcis muralis (Common wall lizard), 302 nucleotides long. The record is from RefSeq and is a predicted model, not a curated record. Lineage: Eukaryota; Metazoa; Chordata; Lepidosauria; Squamata; Lacertidae.